GAGUAACUAUGACUCUCUUAAGGUAGCCAAAUGCCUCGUCAUCAUACGUACCGUACGUCUAACGUACAUGUUUGCUUACCGCGUUCACGACACAAGGGCAGCUUCGGACCGACUGGACCCCCGGCAGGGGGACCGACUGGGCCGGGGAGGCUUGAGUGACACCGGGUCCGAGGGGCUGGGGGGGGGGCACUCCCCCCGGUCUCGAAGGCUUGCACCAAAUUGCACGAAGGGUCCCCUCUCGGGGGGGCCUGACGAGCAGCCAACCCCGACUCCCGCCUUUAAAAGCGGGGGGAGGGGAGGUUCAGAGACUAUACGGUGCUAGGUGGGGCGGCAGCCCUGCCGAGGAGAAAUAGUCCGUCGCCAGGCCUGGAAAAGCUGUAUAGACGUGUGGCUUGUCUGACCCUUGGGCCCCUCCGACCGCCUUGGCGGGUGGGGGGGACCGGGGGGAGGGCAUCGGCCAGUGGUCCGGUUGCUUUGUACAGGCCGCCAUCAGACGUUAAUUUGUGACGCGCAUGAAUGGAUUAAUGAGAUUCCCACUGUCCCUACCUACUAUCUAGCGAAACCACAGCCAAGGGAACGGGCUUGGCACAAUUAGCGGGGAAAGAAGACCCUAAAUCUCAAUGGGGUCAACAGGGGGCAAGCAUGGAGAGCUCACUCUUCAAAUCCGUGCUUGUGCGACCCCCUAGUCAAGCUGGCUACAGCCGAAGGGCCCGCUAUAGCGAGGGCCUGGAGGCAAUGCAAGCAGCCAGCUGGCGAGACAACCUGGUACGAGGGAAGCUUCCCCCACCCCUCGGGGAGGGGGGGGUCAUCUCGUGGCGAGCCCUCUUAGCGGGGGGCCGUCGUAACGCGCGGAAAGGUGUCGGUCUGGGCCCUCUCGGGGGCCUGGGCUUAAGGAACGUGCUAAUCCCACACGACACCCGCAAGGGUCGAGUGUGUCUGCCAGGGAAGGGCUUGCAUCCCGAGCCUGGUGGAGACUGUGCUGUGGGCGAGGGGGACUGAUCCCCCCCUUGUCCGUAGCUCGACCUGGGGAGCAAAUGCCCCAGGUGAAGCCGGUAUACAUGGUUGAGCUUGACUCUAGGCACAGAAGCGAGGUGAUUCUAAAGGUGUAGCAUAGGUGGGAGGACCUGGUCCGCCCUUGAAAUACCACCACUUUCGACAUUGCUUUGCUAAUGCUGUAACGAACGAACGGCCCCCGGGCUGUCCAGGCCGCAAGGUCUGGGCUCCCGGUAAGGUCAUAUUCUAGCGCUUUCCUGGCUGGUCAUGAUGGCUUGGCUCCUCUGGGUGAGUACUCUGGGACCGCAAACUGGGCUUCCGGGUCUGGUGCGCGCUGCUCUUGGGGGAACCAGAGAUGGUUGGGCUGCCCUCUGUCUGGCGUCAAAAUGGGUACGUAAGCCGUGUAGCAGACACUCUGUGUUGGGGAGUUUGGCUGGGGCGGAAAACUGCUACACGGCAACGGCAGUCUCCUAAGGUCCGCUCAGAGACGACAGAAACGCCUCGUAGAGCAUAAAGGCAAAAGCGGGCUUAACUUACAUUUUCAGUAGUAAUGUGAAGCAAGAAAUUGAGGCUUAACGAUCCUUAGCGUCGGGUGCCAGCCCACGCUUGAGGUGAGAGAAAAGUUACCACAGGGAUUGAUCAAUCAAGGUACGGCAGGCAAGGCAGGGAGACAAGGGAACUGGGGACGAGCCGCUAGGCCAGCAGCAUUGACCCCCCGACCCCCGUAAUCCCCGCCUUGUCUAGGUAGGCGAAGGCUAGGCGCAACAAACAGGCUUGUAAGGGUUAGAAGCAUGAAGCAUGGCGAAAGCAGACAAGGAACGAUGCAGACCCUCUCUCGAGGCUCCGUUUGCGGCUAGGCCCAGCACAUCACGUGCAUGGGCCCGGCGGAACGGGUGGAAGAGCAGAGGCGAGUCACUUGGUUGCGAAAGCCCUCGACGUCGGUGCAGACCCCCCCGCAAGGGGGCGAGCCGGUCGUGGUGAAAGCUGCAGCGUGCUGCUCUGGUAAGCCCCCGGCUUCGGCUGGGGGGGAGCUGGGGUGGUUGUGCCUCCGGUCAGACCCGUCAGCUUCGGCUGUGAAGGGAGCUGGAGGACUCGCUGUGGUGGAAGCGUGUCUCAGCCCGAUGCUGCAGUGUGCCGUACCCCCGGUCAGACCCGUCAGUUUCGGCUGUGAAGGGAGCUGGGGAUUGGAUGCAACGCACUGUGGUGGAAGGCAAUGCUUUGGGAAGCGAAGCUGGCGAAAGCACCCAAGGAACGAUACAGACCCUCUCUCGAGGCUCCGUUUGCGGCUAGGUCCAGCAUAUCAUGCAUGGGCCCGGCGGAACGGGUGGAAGAGGAGGCGAGUCACUUGGUUGCGAAAGCCCUCAACGUCGGUGCCGACCCCCCGCAAGGGGGCGAGCCGGUUGUGGUGAAAGCUGCAGCGUGCUGCUCUGGUAAGCCCCCGACUUCGGCCGGGGGGGAGCUGGGGUGGUUGUGUCUCCGGCCAGACCCGUCAGUUUCGGCUGUGAAGGGAGCUGGAGGACUCGCUGUGGUGGAAGCGGCUUCAGUCCAAUGCUGCAGUGUGCCAUACCCCCGGUCAGACCCGUCAGUUUCGGCUGUGAAGGGAGCUGAGGAUUGGACCAAACACACUGUGGCGGGAGGACAGCUUUACUUGGGUUACAAGGGCAAACUCACUCGUUGACAAGGACCCCCAUCUAUCAUACCUCGUACUUUACCGGGAAAGGGCAUUGCGCCCAGCACCGGGGGCACUUGGGAGGGGUGGGGCGAGUCAGCUUGUGCGGGAGCCUUAUCCAUUUUACCCCGGCACCUGGCACUUAGAUUCUUUAAGCUUAAGGCGGCAAAAGCUGAUGGACUCCCUGCCCUCGGGCGGGGGAAGACCGUCAGUCUUGGGCAUGUCCUAUAGGUUCCAAACCGUAGUCGGGCUGGGGAGAAGCGCAGGUUUCCCCGGCCUGGCAACACACCUGGAUGCUGGGAAAGUCCAUAUACAACAGCGUACGUACCAACCGUUCCCCGGUGACACCGGGGCGUGAAGCGUGCUUUUCCCCCGCUAAGGGGCCCACCUUCGGGAGGGCCCUGGGGGAGGAGCGUGCUGGUAAUAACCGUGCGUCUGGGACCCAUCAGCAGGCAACAAGGUCACUCAAAGGGUUGGGCGAAAGCGAGUCUGGACUAGCGCCUCGGCGCGACCCCCGGGCCGGUCCCCUAUACCGUAAUGGCAACAGUGACUGCGUGCUUCAACGACUGGAAAGGUGUGGGCCCGAGUGGGCUGCCCUUGCCCUGUCCUCUUCCCUCUGCCUCCUUCGGGGGGCAGACCAAGGGCGGGGGGCGGGGUGGGAGGUGGUCCGCACAGGCUUAUGGUACAGUCUACUCCCACGGCUACGAGGAUAACCCGUUUCAACCCCCCCUCGGGGGGGAGGGGGCGGGUGAGCUCCGGCUGUGCUUCAUUCCACCGGUUAGUGCCCAAGGCGGAAGCCUGGCCUUUCCCCGUUGCCCCACUAGGGGAAGCGGGGGGGGGUUGGGCUGGGCACUUUCCACAACCCACCACUGCAGGGUUAGGUUUGAGGGAGGCGGUUGGCUUCUGUUUGAGUACGGACCCGGGGUCUUUUCACCCCCGGGCAGCCCGAAAGGAAGCUGGCACCUUGGUCCGAGGAACUGGCUUGUGGCCGCCAAGCGUUCAUAGCGACGUGGC
RNAcentral lists this ribosomal RNA (3676 nucleotides) under Polyschismium aggregatum. Its description in RNAcentral is "Lepidoderma aggregatum partial 28S ribosomal RNA". The stretch from base 1062 to 1623 matches the Rfam family "Eukaryotic large subunit ribosomal RNA", at positions 2415 to 2821 of the family's 3401-position model. The record is from RNAcentral. Lineage: Eukaryota; Evosea; Eumycetozoa; Physariida; Didymiaceae.